GGGGGUGCACCGGUUUCGACAGGGGGUACUGAAAUUUAGUGGGCGUGUCCAGGUUGAUCACCACGGUCCUGGUAAAAAGGGGAUCAAAAAUUAAAUGCUGAAUCUAACGAUUACGGCUAUGCUCUAGCUGCUUAAUUAAUUUAAGCCUAGUCAUUGCGGAGGCCACCUCCAAUAAAAACAAGCGUGGCAACAAGUCUGUCUCGACUUAAAGGAGGCAAGCGAGUAGCCGGGAGUGACGCUUAAUAAUCACCGGGCUUGAAGGUUCACGAAUCUUAUAGUCUUCGCUUUGAGACGAGAAUUCAAAGCUACACACGUAGUCCGCUUUAUAGAUGGCCUUUUGGACGUGGGUUCGAUUCCCACCACCUCCACCA
RNAcentral lists this transfer-messenger RNA (371 nucleotides) under Bacteriovorax stolpii. Its description in RNAcentral is "Standard tmRNA". It matches the Rfam family "transfer-messenger RNA". Rfam says of the family: Bacterial tmRNA, also known as 10Sa RNA or SsrA, is named for its dual tRNA and mRNA-like properties. Its role is to liberate the mRNA from a stalled ribosome. RNAcentral also lists the same sequence under 1 other name. The record is from Rfam by way of RNAcentral. Lineage: Bacteria; Pseudomonadati; Bdellovibrionota; Bacteriovoracia; Bacteriovoracales; Bacteriovoracaceae.